UGUAUUUUCUUCUCACAGUUGCAGAAGGUAGAAGUUAUAAUCAAGAUCAUCAGAACUGGCAUCUGGUGAGAUCUCUCUCCUUGGGUUGUAAGUGACCACCUUCUCUAUGUCCUUCCAUGGACUUUCCUCUGUGCUUUUGUGGUGCCAGUGCGCGUGACAUUUCCCUGAAGCCACAGCCCUUGUCACCCCCUGCAAAGCUCUGAAGUUGUGCACAGGUAGGCCAGGUGGCAGAUUUCUCUCAAAAGCGGCUGAGCUCGCGCUCUGGCUAGGGAAGGCAGAGGCCUGCGGCACAAAGUACAUUGUCUUAGACAUCAGGACAGUGUCUAUAGCAGUUUAGGAAAGAAGGCGGCUCCCUGGGCUGGAGACGACGCAAUGCUCUGGGAAGACCCCUGGGUGCGGGUGAGAGAGGAAUCCGAGCUGCACAAGGCCAAUGAGGGGAGGACGACCCGCCCGAUUUAGAUAAAGGUAACAAGAAAUUUCAGCUUCCGGCAUGAUGGGCGAAGGCCCCCACCUUCAGCCUCGCUCCUCCAUGCCUUCAGAGCUGUUCCGCCAUGCAGACGGGGAGCCUGCCUGUUCUUUAACCUCUCCUACCUGAUGGGAGAGGACAAGCUACCAGGACAGCUUGUCUCACCAAGAAAUUGUGAUACCGCAUCCCCCAACGUGCUGGCUUCCUGACUUCCAAAGUUGCGGCAAGGUAAGAAGAACUACAGAGGAAGAACCUAAUGCAGACGUUUCCCAGGAGACUUUAACUGAAGUAUCAGCAAACUGAAAGCUAGGACGCUUCAGACAUACCAGUGGGCCUAACCUUUUUCACAAGGAGCUCUGGCCUGGCCAACAAGAAUCACCUUUGGUGCUUCAGUGCAGUGUCACCAUCACCUGUUUGAAAUGCAGCCAGGUAACAUGUACCAUUUUAUUUGCUUUCAGUAUCACAGUCUAUCUUCUAAUAAGAAACCUAGGCCUCUGGCUGGGUGUGGUGGCUUACACCUGUAACCCAGCACUUUGAGAGGCUGAGGUGGGUGGAUCACUUGAGGUCAGG
Molecule: long non-coding RNA, 1036 nt
Filed under: Homo sapiens (human)
Lineage: Eukaryota; Metazoa; Chordata; Mammalia; Primates; Hominidae
Description: HSALNT0396521
Source: RNAcentral